This 254-nucleotide ribosomal RNA is filed under the name uncultured bacterium. Its description in RNAcentral is "partial 16S ribosomal RNA". It matches the Rfam family "Bacterial small subunit ribosomal RNA", at positions 524 to 776 of the family's 1533-position model. The record is from RNAcentral.
UACGUAGGGUGCGAGCGUUGUCCGGAAUUAUUGGGCGUAAAGAGCUUGUAGGCGGUUUGUCGCGUCUGCCGUGAAAAUCCGGGGCUCAACCCCGGACUUGCGGUGGGUACGGGCAGACUAGAGUGUGGUAGGGGGAGACUGGAAUUCCUGGUGUAGCGGUGAAAUGCGCAGAUAUCAGGAGGAACACCGAUGGCGAAGGCAGCUUGCUGGGACGGUACUGACGCUGAGACGCGAAAGCGUGGGGAGCAAACAGG